This 1751-nucleotide unclassified non-coding RNA is filed under the name Leishmania donovani. RNAcentral's name for it is "gene:LdHU3.13.0620(CDS-product:60S_ribosomal_prot ein_L18_putative)". Lineage: Eukaryota; Euglenozoa; Kinetoplastea; Trypanosomatida; Trypanosomatidae. The record is from RNAcentral.
AGAGAAACAAUGGGCGUCGAUCUGACUGGUAUCUCCAAGAAGAGUCGUGUGAUUCGCCAUCACACGUACUCGACGAACCCCUACAUCAAGCUGCUGAUCAAGCUGUACAAGUUCCUCGCGAAGCGCACAAGCUCUGGCUUCAACAAGGUCGUGUACCAGCGCCUGAUCAAGAGCCGCAGCAACCGCGCCCCGAUAUCGCUGAGCCGCAUCGCCGUCGUCAUGAAGCGCAAGGCUGUUUUUACCGCGAAGAGCAAGGCGGCCCCGAUCGCCGUCGUGGUCGGUGACGUCCUGGAUGAUGUGCGCAUGGCCCGCAUCCCCGCGAUGCGCGUCUGCGCCCUGCGCUUCUCCAAGAGCGCGCGCCAGAGCAUCGUCGCCGCCGGCGGUGAGUGCCUGACCUUCGACCAGCUCGCCAUGAUUGCUCCCACUGGCAAGAACACGUACCUGCUGCGUGGUCGCAAGUCUGGCCGCGAGUCGGUGCGCCACUUCGGCGCCUCUGGCGUGCCCGGCAGCCACUCGAAGCCUUACGCGACCAACCGCGGCAAGGAGACGAAGCGCGGCCGCCGCACGGGCCGCUCGUACAAACGCAAGGCCUUCCGCCACGUCUAAGGAGUAUGGCGGUAAUUCGCGAUGGUGGGCGCGGCUGUGCGACGGCGUGCGCGCCAGCCUACACGCGCUCGCGUCCCUUCAGUGGGAGGUGCGUGCCUCUCUCGGUGAUGUCUCUCCCCUGUGACGUUUCUCUUCUCUUUUCGCUUGUUUGUAUUUUUUUUUUCGCUCCUUCGUUCACGCAUUGACCAAACAAGAAUCUUCGGAAAACAAAAACGACUCAGGAGAGGACACCGCAUCUCCUCUGCCCCCCUCCCUCUCUCUCGCUACCCGCUCUCUGCUGCGGCUACGCGACCGCCUCCGACCCCCUCGUCAUCCUCUUUCUUCCGUGUGUGCGUGUGCAGAUACACGGGUGAUGGUAGAGGAUGCAGAGUGCACGGGAGGUGAUCUGGGGCGGACGACGUGGGCGAGGAGGAGCAGCGAAAGGCGUGUGUGUUUCUGCGCAUGCAUGUGCGUUUACUGUGUGGGUGCUGUGUUGUGCAUGGAGGAAAGCGGGGUACGGGGGUAGCGAGGAGCAGGCACGCUCCAUCGUCUCUUGCCUUCUGAGGACCCUCGUGUGUUCUCGCCACUCUCCCUCCUCCUGUGCGAGGGAGACGGAAGGGGAGAAGAGGGAUGUGAGGGGUGAAGGGCAGGACAAUGAUGAUGGUUAUCGUGGGAGAGAGAGCAUGAGGGGGGGGGACUGUGAGAGUGAAGGCGAAGGAAGGUGAGGAGAAGGAGGGGCGGCCGGAUUGGCGGACACAAAUGUGCAUGCGUGUGUGCGGCAUGCGCUCCUCUUCCUUCCCCUCCCGCUCUGCCUCUCUGCCCCGUCGCCCCCUUCUACUUCCUCCGCACGGGCCUGCAUUUCACUUCGACGCCCCCCCCCCCACACACACACACACACACACCAGCACCGACGCACGCGGGUGCGCAGCUGUGUAACCCUCUCUGUUCUCUUGGCUGCUAAUACCAAAGCGCGUGCUCUUCUUUGAUCCGUCUCCGCCGCUAAUACUACUGGCUGCCUCGCUCCUCUCCCCACCGCGACGUCCUCUUGUUCUCUUUUCCCUCUGCUGGGUGCAUGUCUACUCUCGCCACACACACACACACACACGCAUCAAAAAAAAACACCAAAACGCGUCAACUCACUCACAUGCACGUCUUAACAUGUGCAG